RNAcentral lists this transfer RNA (68 nucleotides) under Pediculus humanus corporis (human body louse). RNAcentral describes it as "tRNA-Met". Lineage: Eukaryota; Metazoa; Arthropoda; Insecta; Psocodea; Pediculidae. The record is from RNAcentral. RNAcentral also lists the same sequence under 1 other name.
AUAAAGAUAGGCUAUUAAUAAGCCUUUAGGUUCAUAUCCUAAAGAAGCAUACUUAUGCUCUUUAUUUU